Molecule: unclassified non-coding RNA, 316 nt
Filed under: Hevea brasiliensis (rubber tree)
Lineage: Eukaryota; Viridiplantae; Streptophyta; Magnoliopsida; Malpighiales; Euphorbiaceae
Source: RNAcentral
GACGAUACUGAUGAAGAAGUACACUGUCAAAGCUUGUGGAUACUGUUCAGAAGUCCACGUGGGACCUUGGGGUCACAACGCUAAACUCUGCGGUGAAUUCAAACACCAGUGGCGGGAUGGUAAACAUGGCUGGCAAGAUGCAACAGUGGAUGAGGUAUUGCCCCCUAACUAUGUGUGGCAUGUUCAAGAUCCAAAAGGAACCCCAUUGAGAAGUGCACUGAAGAGAUUCUAUGGGAAGGCUCCAGCUGUGGUUGAAGUUUGUAUGCAGGCUGGUGCUCAAAUACCUCAGAAGUAUAAACCUAUGAUGAGGCUAGAC